AAAUUGUAGUUUUAUUCAAUAUUUAUCGAGUGAAUUGUUUUCUAAUGGAUCUUCCUAGUUACAAAUUUUCUCUAGUCCAUUACCUGGGUGAUUUUGUUUUGAUCUUUAUUUAAGUAGAACAAUAUCUUCAUCAAUUUAAGCUUGAACUCUUUAAUUUAUUCUGUUGGGUUGUGCCAGUUGAUGCUCCCUUUAGUGUAGCGUUUCACUUUAAACUAAUAACAUUUUAAAAAUUGUAUUAUUUCACUUUGCUUUGAAGCAGGUGGUUGGUGUUUGUUGGAGCAGUCUCUGGUAAAGCAAUCUAAUGUGCUUGCUGUUCUCAGCUUUUCAUGGUGCUGACAUUUUGGCAUGGUUUCACUUGAUUUGUGUCUGCUCAGUGUUUGUGUGUAUUUUAUUGAUAAGUAUUUUUGGGUUGAUAUUCAGAGAAAACCAAAAAUGUUGAGAACAUAGAAGACCAUGUCCUGCCAAAGAAAUCUGUCAUUCUGUCCUCCAACCCACUAAAUGUGGUAUGGUAUCACGUCAGAUUUGUUAAGUUUGCAUUCCCUUCUUGCAUCCUAAGAAAGGUUACCAUUUUAUUGAAACAUAGGCAUGCUUUAUUUUACCUAACUUCCGUUCUUGCCUCUUAGCAUGUGUUCAGGCAUGUUUAUUGUUCAUAUUGUUAGUGGUUUAUUUCUUACAUUCAUAGCAUUUUCCACUUCGGAAUGAAAAGCAUGCAACCAAUUUCCAUUUUCCAGCUCCAGACAGGUAUCAGUAUGCCUUGCAUAAGGUAGCUUAUGUCCUCCGGCCGCCAGGUGGCGCGAGCGUCGCGUCAAAACUCGGGACAUUUUCACAUUUUCCAGCCAACUGAAAAUGUCUUCCAAAUUCAUCAUGGUCAUAAAAACUAAUUGGCAAUGCGUAAUCCAUCCUCCUGUAAUUUCCUUUUGGCGAAAUAAUCUGAUCACGUGGGCCAAAACUGCUGUCCAUUUUGCCGAAUGCCGUCUAGGCGUCUAUUGUUACCUGUACCUGCUGUACGAGUUUGCUGUACGUCUCGUCCCGUGAAGAAGCACUUCAGACCAAUUUAAUUUAUGUUCAGGUCUCAGACUGCUUUGCUGAUAUAUUGCAGAAAUCGAGAACACAGCCAAGUCAGAGCUACAUUGAUGUUGUGGGACCACUUGCUACUAAAUUACUUCUUGCCUAAACAUGUAAUAAAAAAAAAAACCGUAGUUUUUUCAGAGUACUUGACUUGAAAUUGUGUCUCAUGUUGCCAAAAAUAUGUCUUCUCCUGCUCUACAUAGCAUCCUAUGAACAGAUAACAGCAUAGUGGACAAGGUUUCGAUAGCCAUUUGACGUUGACGGUGUCAAUGGAGAUGCUGAAUUUCACAAUUCAACUCUGCCAAACAAUUUUUCACAUGGCCUGAAUCUGAAGAUUAAUUUAAGUUGAUUUUGUUUCUAGAUUAUGCUCCCAUAGCUGCUGUCUAAUUUGAUACGUUGUUGCAGCCAUAUGCUGGUAAAAGACUUUUUGCAUAAAGUUCAACUGUGAUUGUACCUUGAUGAUGGUUUCAUGUUGCGGAAGUUUUAAACAGUAUGUUAAAUUGUCCUUUUGCCAAAUAAUAAACAAAUCAUCGCGAUCGGGAAAGCAACGAGGAGGUGGGAGGGAGACUUAAAUAUUUAAAAGAAAUGUUGAGGUGUUUUGUCGAAGAAAUUGACUCGGUAAUUAUAAAUAUCUUCAACUUUA
Molecule: long non-coding RNA, 1711 nt
Organism: Daphnia pulex (common water flea)
Lineage: Eukaryota; Metazoa; Arthropoda; Branchiopoda; Diplostraca; Daphniidae
Exons: 4
Source: RefSeq, a predicted model, not a curated record